CUGUCGGUCUCUAUCAGCCUCUCUUUGCUUUCUGUUUCCGUGCCUGGAGAGCAUUUUCCAUUGAUCAAUCUCAGUCUUUUUUCUUUUUUGGACUCAUGCGAGCUAUUUAAAGUAGGCAUUUUUUAACAUACACAUUUUAUACUCUGCUGCUUUAUGUGUCUGUCAUAUCCACUUUAGAGUUUAGAUAUAAGCCUAUUGUACUUACUGUGUUACUGCGAUCCAAACACACUGCUGAUGAUGUGACGUAACAUUACUUCACCAAACCAUUCAGAUUACCGUUACUGUAAAUUCAGUGGCAUGAGACAAGGACUAAGUAAAAAGGGAGAGUUAGACUGAAAAGAUGCAGAGAGGGUGAGGAGAGGAUGCAGCUUCCACUUAAGUUUUUCGUGUGUGCUGGUGAGCGCGCGAGGAGCAGAGCGCGCGGACAGCGCCCACGCAACACUUCCACGCGCUGCAAAUCUUCUUAAAUGCGACGCAUCCUAAAUCAGGAGACGCUUUAUCUUCUGAACAGGAAAAGUUUUAUAUAAAUUAAAUAGAAACUGAAAAGAAAUAACGCUCAUUUGGACUAUAAUGUGAUGACAAGUUGUGCACGAGCCGCAGAUUUCUGCUGACCGAAAGGGCAAAGAAGACACGGGAUGAUCUAUGCACUUCAUUUACUGCCAGCACUGGAGUUAACAGAGACUGUGAUGUCCUCAAUGCAAAAACCGCAGAUUCGAAUAAUAAGGAACGUGACAGGGCCCUGACAAACUGUUCUUGAGUUGUAUUUGCCGUGGAUAUAUUCUACCACAAAUAUUUGAAGAUGAAACUUUGUCAUCUCUCACUUUAGAAAUUUUCUUUUUCUUUUGAGUGUUUUGUUUUCUAAUUUCAUCCUUGAAUAAGCU
Carassius carassius (crucian carp) is the source of this 881-nucleotide long non-coding RNA. RefSeq lists it as uncharacterized. Lineage: Eukaryota; Metazoa; Chordata; Actinopteri; Cypriniformes; Cyprinidae. The transcript has 3 exons. The record is from RefSeq and is a predicted model, not a curated record.